UAACANAUUGAAUUGCAAAUUCGAAGAAGCAGCUUCAAUUCUGCCGGGGCUU
This 52-nucleotide transfer RNA is filed under the name Hippotragus niger (sable antelope). RNAcentral's name for it is "partial tRNA-Cys". Lineage: Eukaryota; Metazoa; Chordata; Mammalia; Artiodactyla; Bovidae. The record is from RNAcentral.